ACUGUGACUGUAGGCAUGCGUCACCACGCCCAGUUCUAAGGAUUAAAAUAUUUUUCACUUGUUAUUUGGAGUGAAUGGAGCUACACGGUAUAGGAUUUCUUCAACAAACUUGAAAUCAAACCAUGAUGGUGCAUUAUUGGUCUCAAGAAUAAAACACCCCACCACCCGCUGAGCAUUUUCAAAGCCCCAGGUGUCACAUCUGACUUGUCUGUUCACAUUCAGUUGCUAAGAAUCCUGCCAAGAAGGUUCUUCUACUGCCCCGCCCCGCUUACAGACAAGGAUGUUGAGACUCAGAGAUGGCAGGGGAUUUGCCCAAGGCUGCACAAUUCCCACCAACAAAUGGACUCAGAACUAAAACCUUGGGCUCCAAACAGCAUGUUCUCCGGCCUCCCCGGCACCAGCCAUGUGAAGGAAGGUCGCAGGAGCCGGGACCUGCAGGGACCAGCGACCUCCCCACAGGCCAGACUAGCUCUGUCUAUUGUACAGACAGGGAGUGGUCUGCCCACCCCUGAAUGUGAUCAGGACUCUCCCCGGGGCCCUGGGAGUCAUUUCCUGUCAUCAGAAGCCCGAGGCCCUGUGAGCCACGUCCACCCAAAGCCACCAUGCCAAAUCGGAACUCCGAAGAUGAACAAAGGUUCUGCUGAAAGGCUUGGAUAGUCGCCAAGCCAAGCCAAGCCAAAUUUAGGGAAGCAAGAAGACAAAGCCUUGCUGUGAGCCCCUCCCACUGGCCCUCUCGUGGCUCCUCCCACUGCUAGGGAGGGGCCAAUUCUGUUUAACCAUUUGCUGUGUGCCAGCCAGUAAGCACCUGUGGUACAACCAUAGCAUGGGCCUUGCUUGCAGGCAAGGAGUCUUGUGUUCAAAUUCUGAAGCUUCUCAACUGUCUGAAUGUGAGCUGAUGACCUGACUUCUCAGAUCCUGUUUCCGUGUAGGGAAGAGUGUCAGAAGAGUAUCCAGCAGCUGGGUCAUGGUGUGAGGAUGCCCUACAGUCACUGGCCCUUAAUGGUGGCAUCCUGACAGUUGUAGAUACUUAAAGGCAAGUUGCACAGACAUCAGACCCCAAAGACCUUCCUGUUGGCCCAGAAGAACGACCUCGUACAUGGAGAAACUGAGGCCUAGAAGUAGGGAGAAAAAGCCCUCAGCUGGUGAUGGGACAGAAAUGGAAGUUUGUGAAGCUGAGAAGAGCGAGGACAGUGUGUGAAAGCUGUGAUCUGAGCUCCUGUAACCCAGCCGGAAGCUCUGGGGCUUCAGAGGUAGAGCCGCCCGCGUUCAAAUCCCAAGUGUCUGGAGGCCAGAACUCUCUGUUCUGUGUAUGUGCUGUCAACCCAAGAGGCUAUUCUGUUCAACUCUGUGACAAUCAUCGGCUCUGUGCCUGUGGCCACUGUCUGUUCUCUGGUCCCUUCCCUGAGGCCUGGGCCUUGAAGAAGCCUGCUUCCACUGGGGACAGGCCAGGGCCUCUGACUCAGCUCUUCUGCACCCUGCCCUCCUUCUGCUGGCCUGGUAACUGCUGGAGGCAACGAUGAAGAUGACGAAGCACUAACCGCCAGCUCACACAGACUCUGCCAAGUUGCAGCCUCUGAAUUUACUCUGUCAUUCUGUCUACCCCAUUGUUGUUUUGCAUCUGUUCAGUAAAUGACUCGAGAUGCUAUAUAAUAAAAUCAACAUUGUGUGGGAUGAUUUUGCCUAACAGCAGGCCAGUUUCAGGGAAGCGGGGCUCGGCUGUAACGUUUGGUAGGUCAGGCAUAUUGACCCAGUGCAUUUCGGCUUGGGAUACUUGGGAUUUAUGAUGGGGUCUCUGGGGCCCUCCUCUCACAGUAAGCCAAGGAGCACCUGUGUAGUCUGGACUUGGUGUCAACCACCCUUCUCAGCAACUCACUUAUGCCAACUCCUUUAGGCAGGAACUUUAUUACCACCACUGUAUGGAUAGACAAACUGAAAUUCAGAGAGGUUCCUAAGUCUGUGGCCACACCACCCUGAACAUGCCCUGUCAGGUGAUGUGCCUGAGGCCAAACACCCUGAAAAUGACAGAGCAAAGGGUGCCAGAGUCCUGGGAGCAGGAUGCCAAUCCCUGCUCAGACGUUUCCUGACAGGGCUCUACCCUUCUCUGAGUCUCAGUCUGCUCUUCUCUAAAAUGUUCUGAAAAUGAUGUUACCGGAGCCCUGGGAGAAGCCAUGGAGUGAGCCACACAGCCUGUGCAAGUUGCACAGCUGAGCCUUGUCACUCACUUUGACGUUUAGGGAAAUGGGGCUCCUCAGAAUCCAUGUUCUGAAAAGGGGUGCAGGCC
Molecule: non-coding RNA, 2281 nt
Organism: Cricetulus griseus (Chinese hamster)
Lineage: Eukaryota; Metazoa; Chordata; Mammalia; Rodentia; Cricetidae
Source: RefSeq, a predicted model, not a curated record